CCAUUUAAGUAUGAUGAUAUUUAUAAUAAAUACAAUAAAGCAAUUAGUAUGCAAAGCUCCCGUCCAUGUUAUAUGAUCUCAUUAUAUAAAUUAUUUUUUACCAUGUUUAGUAGUGAAUCUUCCAUUUUCAUGUGAUCUCUUUUUAUUGUAUCAUUUAUUAUGAUUUUUAUUAUACAGUAUGAAGUUUUGUAAAUGGUGCAUGAUAACUUGUUGAGUUGUUAAAUCAGUCAUAACUUGUUAAAAAGAUAAGUGAUUAUACCCUUAUCCUAACUUAUAAACCAGUUACUUAACAUAUAAUAGCAUAGUUGUGUUGUGCUACACUUUUAACAACAUUCCAUCCAAUUAAUGUGAUCUUU
This 356-nucleotide long non-coding RNA is filed under the name Mytilus galloprovincialis (Mediterranean mussel). The record is from RNAcentral. Lineage: Eukaryota; Metazoa; Mollusca; Bivalvia; Mytilida; Mytilidae.